AUGCAGGCGGUUUGUUAAGUCAGAUGUGAAAGCCCGGGGCUCAACCUCGGAACCGCAUUUGAAACUGGCAGGCUAGAGUCUUGUAGAGGGGGGUAGAAUUUCAGGUGUAGCGGUGAAAUGCGUAGAGAUCUGAAGGAAUACCAGUGGCGAAGGCGGCCCCCUGGACAAAGACUGACGCUCAGAUGCGAAAGCGUGGGUAGCAAACAGGAUUAGAUACCCUGGUAGUCCACGCCGUAAACGCUGUCUACUUGGAGGUUGAGGUUUUAGACUUUGGCUUUCGGCGCUAACGCAUUAAGUAGACCGCCUGGGGAGUACGGCCGCAAGGUUAAAACUCAAAUGAAUUGACGGGGGCCCGCACAAGCGGUGGAGCAUGUGGUUUAAUUCGAUGCAACGCGAAGAACCUUACCUACUCUUGACAUCCAGAGAACUUUCCAGAGAUGGAUUGGUGCCUUCGGGAACUCUGAGACAGGUGCUGCAUGGCUGUCGUCAGCUCGUGUUGUGAAAUGUUGGGUUAAGUCCCGCAACGAGCGCAACCCUUAUCCUUGUUUGCCAGCACAUAAUGGUGGGAACUCCAGGGAGACUGCCGGUGAUGAACCGGAGGAAGGUGGGGACGACGUCAAGUCAUCAUGGCCCUUACGAGUAGGGCUACACACGUGCUACAAUGGCAGAUACAGAGGGCAGCGAAGCUGCGAAGUGGAGCGAAUCCCUUAAAGUCUGUCGUAGUCCGGAUUGGAGUCUGCAACUCGACUCCAUGAAGUCGGAAUCGCUAGUAAUCGUGGAUCAGAAUGCCACGGUGAAUACGUUCCCGGGCCUUGUACACACCGCCCG
This 828-nucleotide ribosomal RNA is filed under the name uncultured bacterium. RNAcentral's name for it is "bacterial SSU rRNA". It matches the Rfam family "Bacterial small subunit ribosomal RNA", at positions 569 to 1396 of the family's 1533-position model. The record is from RNAcentral.